Molecule: ribosomal RNA, 701 nt
Filed under: uncultured bacterium
Lineage: Bacteria
Description: bacterial SSU rRNA
Rfam family: Bacterial small subunit ribosomal RNA
Source: RNAcentral
UCUGCCUUGUAGUGGGGGAUAACUUGCCGAAAGGUAAGCUAAUACCGCAUACGCCCUAAGGGGGAAAGCAGGGGACUCUUCGGAGCCUUGCGCUAUUAGAUGAGCCUAGGUCGGAUUAGUUAGUUGGUGGGGUAAUGGCUCACCAAGACCGCGAUCCGUAACUGGUCUGAGAGGAUGAUCAGUCACACUGGAACUGAGACACGGUCCAGACUCCUACGGGAGGCAGCAGUGGGGAAUAUUGGACAAUGGGGGGAACCCUGAUCCAGCCAUGCCGCGUGUGUGAAGAAGGCCUUCGGGUUGUAAAGCACUUUAAUUUGGGAGGAAGGGCUUACGGUUAAUAACCGCUAAGUUUUGACGUUACCAAAAGAAUAAGCACCGGCUAACUUCGUGCCAGCAGCCGCGGUAAUACGAAGGGUGCGAGCGUUAAUCGGAAUUACUGGGCGUAAAGCGCGCGUAGGUGGUUCAUUAAGUUAGGAGUGAAAGCCCCGGGCUCAACCUGGGAAUUGCUUCUAAAACUGGUGAGCUAGAGUACGGUAGAGGGUGGUGGAAUUUCCUGUGUAGCGGUGAAAUGCGUAGAUAUAGGAAGGAACAUCAGUGGCGAAGGCGACCACCUGGACUGAUACUGACACUGAGGUGCGAAAGCGUGGGGAGCAAACAGGAUUAAAUACCCUGGUAGUCCACGCCGUAAACGAUGUCAACUA